This 153-nucleotide unclassified non-coding RNA is filed under the name uncultured fungus. RNAcentral's name for it is "sequence contains ITS1". Lineage: Eukaryota; Fungi. The record is from RNAcentral.
CAAUCAGUGUUCAAUGGCACUUGAAAUCCAUUACCCACCUUGUGUGCAUUGUCGGGGGUCGAGAACGACCUUUUGGUUUUCUCUCGCCCUCUUUCAUUCAUACCGAUUCUUCAGUAUCAGUCUACAGUCAUUCGAGUGUAAAAAACUCUAAUA